AAUGUUUUAUACUUUUUAUUUGCAUAUUUAAAAAAAAUUGUGCAUUCCAAUAAUUCAAAUCAUUUUGAACAAAUUAAAAUUUCACUUGAUUUGACCGCAUUUUACAGCUCGCUGGACUUUGAUGCAGCUUUCCUUUCACUCGAGGCCACAUGGUACUGAAUCUCCGUACCUCACCAAUUAUCCUUUUAUUAUAUAAUGCACGAUGCUCAAUGCCACCAGGACCAAAGCCAGCCAGACAGGCAGAUGGAGAGGCAGCGCCUUCAGUCAGUCAGUAGUUCUUUAUUCCUUUCUGUUCAUGUAACGGGCAGCACAGUAAAUGUUUUCCAACCUUUGUAUCUUUGUUAUUUUUUUUUACAAAGUUAAACAGCUAAAAGAAGUAAAAUAAGAAGGCAAUGCUUGUGGAAUGUACAGUGCAUAUCUGGGUGAUGGGAGAUUCAUUAUGAUUCAGUUGCUUGUUUCUCUUGCUCAAUUGCUAAAAAGAAGAAGGAAAAAGGGUGGAAGGAGGUAAAAAAAAA
Non-coding RNA from Pelobates cultripes (western spadefoot toad), 515 nucleotides. The record is from the annotation of a GenBank genome assembly. NCBI's taxonomy places the organism in Eukaryota, Metazoa, Chordata, Amphibia, Anura, Pelobatidae.